RNAcentral lists this long non-coding RNA (1600 nucleotides) under Zostera marina. Its description in RNAcentral is "long non-coding RNA (ZMAR_LNC000177)". Lineage: Eukaryota; Viridiplantae; Streptophyta; Magnoliopsida; Alismatales; Zosteraceae. The record is from RNAcentral.
UAAUGUAUAAAGGAGAUGUAAUAACCUGAAUUUUCUUAAUUUACAUAGGGUUAUUCUCAAAUUUAACUAAACAAACAACCAAGAUCCAUAUGCCCGAAUGGGCGUACACAACAAAAAUCAAAGUACUAGCGGAAACCAAAUAGACCCUUUAUUUAACUAAUAUUCUAGGAUCCCAUUCAUGUGUGAAACCCUCUGUCCAGUCCAUUCCAAGCCAUCCCUUAUUCUGCAAUAAAAUGUCAUUUACAUGGGUAAGUUUCAAAAACUUAGUACGUGAAUAUAUCAUAAAUCUUAUAGUUCAUGAAUUUCUUUUGGGGCGUAUCAACCCUCCUUGGUUACCAAUAGAGGUUUUUACGAACCCCCUUUUUUCCUUUACAUUGGUCAUCGAGUAAACUCUCACUAUGCCGUCAAACCCCGUUGAGUCAUGUAGCCUCGUCAAACCCGUUAAGUUCCGUUCAUUCCAUGUGUCGUCAAACAUGGGGUUCAGGUCGAGUGCCAUUUCGAGUGCUGGCUCGACCCGCUCCUUUCAUUGUCCAUUCCUAAAUUCAUCCGAAUUUAGGGUCAGGGUUCUUUAGGUUUCAUUGAUUUCCCUUUUACACUUUUCGUUAUUAGAUCCAAAGAAAACUUAAAAUUGAAAUAAAACCCGAAAUGUCAUUUAAAUCCUCGAGUAAUGAAACGGUUUACAUUAGUAAAAAAAAAAUCAAACUUUUAAAUCAAUUAGGUUUGAGUUAAUUUACCUCUCGUUCGGUUAACUCAAACCUUGAAAAUAAAACGCAGACCUUUAAAUUUACUCGACCACCACCCUGGAAUAGGCGGUAGGUCUAUAGAGUUGAGGCUUAACCUCAGACAACCAACCCAAAUAUCCAUACCCAUCUCUUGAUUUUAUUGGUUAAAAUCGACCAUGUGGGUGUCCCAUUUGGGUGUCUAAAGCUUAAGCAUGAGCUUCUAGCCGCUAGCCCUAGGGCAGCGCAAAUCCUGAACUUGGAACCUUGUGGGGUCCAGUCCACGAUUAUAGUCUCGUGUUCAUAAGGAUUUUUGCUGUCCAGUAAAAUAAAUUAAAGAACAUAAAAUCAGAAACCAACAAACUCAAGGAAUGGCAAAAACCUAAGAUAUCAUUUAAACCACAAGGACAAGAAAUUCAUUUCCUCUAUUACCUAGCAAAAAUAUACUGAAAUAUCAAAACAGAAAAACACGAAACAGAAAACAGAAAAACAGAAAAAAAACAGAAAACAGAGUAACUCAAAAAUGGAGGAAGAUCUGGAAUGUUAUUUAAACCAUCAAGGAAUAACCUUAAUUUUUUUUGUUUUCCAGCAAGAACAUGUAGGAGCAUCGAGAAAACGGAGAACAAAAAAAAUGAAAAGAAAACCUUAACUUCUCUUGAACCAAAAACCAAUCGAACAACAACUUUGUUGUACGAAAUCAGGCCCCUAAAUCACCCAAUGAAGAUACAAUACAUAAACCAAAAAUUAUUCAUAUCCUUACAUCAUUUCAUUUUUUAAUAGCAACACUUCAUACUAAAUUACUCUAUUUGAAGGAUUGGCUAUAUCCACGUACCUUGAUCUCCUCUUAGUUUUUCUCCUAACACUUGCAAGCCCUAGCCGAG